RNAcentral lists this ribosomal RNA (85 nucleotides) under Escherichia coli B7-1. RNAcentral describes it as "partial 16S ribosomal RNA". The record is from RNAcentral. Lineage: Bacteria; Pseudomonadati; Pseudomonadota; Gammaproteobacteria; Enterobacterales; Enterobacteriaceae.
AAAACAUGAUCACCGGUGCUGCUCAGAUGGACGGCGCGAUCCUGGUAGUUGCUGCGACUGACGGCCCGAUGCCGCAGACUCGUGA